This 427-nucleotide ribosomal RNA is filed under the name uncultured bacterium. RNAcentral's name for it is "bacterial SSU rRNA". It matches the Rfam family "Bacterial small subunit ribosomal RNA", at positions 355 to 774 of the family's 1533-position model. The record is from RNAcentral.
UGGGGAAUUUUGGACAAUGGACGCAAGUCUGAUCCAGCCAUGCCGCGUGCGGGAAGAAGGCCUUCGGGUUGUAAACUGCUUUUGUACGGAACGAUAAGGCUCUGGUUAAUACCUGGGGCUCAUGACGGUACCGUAAGAAUAAGCACCGGCUAACUACGUGCCAGCAGCCGCGGUAAUACGUAGGGUGCAAGCGUUAAUCGGAAUUACUGGGCGUAAAGCGUGCGCAGGCGGUUAUGUAAGACAGAUGUGAAAUCCCCGGGCUCAACCUGGGACCUGCAUUUGUGACUGCAUAACUAGAGUACGGCAGAGGGAGGUGGAAUUCCGCGUGUAGCAGUGAAAUGCGUAGAUAUGCGGAGGAACACCGAUGGCGAAGGCAGCCUCCUGGGCCAGUACUGACGCUCAUGCACGAAAGCGUGGGGAGCAAACA